This 253-nucleotide ribosomal RNA is filed under the name uncultured bacterium. RNAcentral describes it as "partial 16S ribosomal RNA". It matches the Rfam family "Bacterial small subunit ribosomal RNA", at positions 524 to 776 of the family's 1533-position model. The record is from RNAcentral.
GACGUAGGGGGCCAGCGUUGUUCGGAAUUACUGGGUGUAAAGGGUUCGUAGGCGGUGCGGCAAGUUGGGAGUGAAAUCUCUGGGCUUAACCCAGAGGCUGCUUCCAAAACUGCUGUGCUUGAGUGUGGGAGAGGCGCGUGGAAUUGCAGGUGUAGCGGUGGAAUGCGCAGAUAUCAGGAGGAACACCGAUGGCGAAGGCAGGUCACUGGGCCGCAACUGACGCUGAGGAGCGAAAGCAUGGGGAGCGAACAGG